CAUACAUUGUGUGUAUACCUCUGUAUGAGGGUGUCACCAUAGAGUGUGUAUACCUCUGUAUGAAGGUGUCACCAUACAUAGUGUGUGUAUACCUCUGUAUGAAGGUGUCACCAUACAUAGUGUGUGUUUACCUCUGUAUGAUGGUCUCACCAUACAUAGAGUGUUUACCUCUGUAUGAUGGUCUCACCAUACAUAGUUUGUUAAUUCCUUAAAAGGAUAUUACCUCACAAUGUCAUACUAUAUAUGGGCAUACCUCCUUAUGUUUGUGAAAAACUGUAAUUUCAAAAUCACGUGUAUUCUAUAUUUAAACCGAAUUACCACAUUGUAACCCUGCUCAGUAGUUAAAAACGAUAUUUUCAUGUAAAAAUGCCUUUGGUAAAGUGUUGACCUCGUGAGGUUGAUCUCAAAACUGGUACCUCCCCAUGUAAGGUAGACCGGUAGGUGUGUGUGUGGGUGUGUGUGUGUGUGUGUGUG
Pecten maximus is the source of this 474-nucleotide long non-coding RNA. RefSeq lists it as uncharacterized. The transcript has 2 exons. NCBI's taxonomy places the organism in Eukaryota, Metazoa, Mollusca, Bivalvia, Pectinida, Pectinidae. The record is from RefSeq and is a predicted model, not a curated record.